This 253-nucleotide ribosomal RNA is filed under the name uncultured bacterium. RNAcentral describes it as "partial 16S ribosomal RNA". It matches the Rfam family "Bacterial small subunit ribosomal RNA", at positions 524 to 776 of the family's 1533-position model. The record is from RNAcentral.
UACAGAGGUCCCAAGCGUUGUUCGGAUUCACUGGGCGUAAAGGGUGCGUAGGUGGUGAGGUAAGUCUGAUGUGAAAUCUCUGGGCUCAACCCAGAAACUGCAUUGGAUACUAUCUCGCUAGAGGAAUGGAGGGGGGACUGGAAUACUUGGUGUAGCAGUGAAAUGCGUAGAUAUCAAGUGGAACACCAGUGGCGAAGGCGAGUCCCUGGACAUUUCCUGACACUGAGGCACGAAAGCUAGGGGAGCAAACAGG